This 391-nucleotide ribosomal RNA is filed under the name uncultured Anoxybacillus sp. RNAcentral's name for it is "bacterial SSU rRNA". It matches the Rfam family "Bacterial small subunit ribosomal RNA", at positions 993 to 1382 of the family's 1533-position model. Lineage: Bacteria; Bacillati; Bacillota; Bacilli; Caryophanales; Anoxybacillaceae. The record is from RNAcentral.
GACAACCCGAGAGAUCGGGCGUUCCCCGUUCGGGGGACAGGGUGACAGGUGGUGCAUGGUUGUCGUCAGCUCGUGUCGUGAGAUGUUGGGUUAAGUCCCGCAACGAGCGCAACCCUCGACCUUAGUUGCCAGCAUUCAGUUGGGCACUCUAAGGUGACUGCCGGCUAAAAGUCGGGGAAGGUGGGGAUGACGUCAAAUCAUCAUGCCCCUUAUGACCUGGGCUACACACGUGCUACAAUGGGCGGUACAAAGGGUCGCGAACCCGCGAGGGGGAGCCAAUCCCAAAAAGCCGCUCUCAGUUCGGAUUGCAGGCUGCAACUCGCCUGCAUGAAGCCGGAAUCGCUAGUAAUCGCGGAUCAGCAUGCCCACGGUCGAAUACGUUCCGGGCCUU